This is a long non-coding RNA of Syngnathus acus (greater pipefish), 474 nucleotides long. RefSeq lists it as uncharacterized. Lineage: Eukaryota; Metazoa; Chordata; Actinopteri; Syngnathiformes; Syngnathidae. The record is from RefSeq and is a predicted model, not a curated record. The transcript has 3 exons.
CCUCCCACCUCCACCUCACCCAGCACCUCCGCCCGCAGGUGCCAGGACCUUUUAUGCAGAACCACGUCGCACCCGGUGAACUGGGUUCUGAAGGUGCGUGGGAGGCUGAGCGGCCCUGCCCUCCGACUUGAGUCUGCCUAUAGAUCCCACAUGUCCCCGUUGGAGAAGUUCACCCGCCAAAAUGUCAAUAAUAUCAGCUGACUAAAUAUGAGGAAGUGGCACAUGAGGAACUUAUGCCGGAGAAAGAUUUUCCUGCUGUGUCAUCCUGACCUUCCACUCCUGGAUGACAAGCCAACACAAACUGUGUUGAUAUUGGUAUGAUAUUUUGAUUAUGGGAGAAAUAACCAGCAACUAACCCGUGAAAUGGGAUGUACAGAUAGAAGUCAAAAUCAUGGUCAAUCAUGUCCAAAUGUAAUAAUAAUCAUAAUCAUAAUAAUAAAAGGAGCCUAUUGUAGGCAAGUAGUAAUUUGUAAU